Molecule: ribosomal RNA, 255 nt
Filed under: uncultured bacterium
Lineage: Bacteria
Description: partial 16S ribosomal RNA
Rfam family: Bacterial small subunit ribosomal RNA
Source: RNAcentral
UACGUAGGGGGCUAGCGUUGUCCGGAAUCAUUGGGCGUAAAGAGCGUGUAGGCGGCUUGGUAAGUCCGCUGUGAAAGUCCAGGGCUCAACCCUGGAAAGCCAGUGGAAACUGUCAAGCUAGAGUCCGGAAGAGGCGAGUGGAACUCCUGGUGUAGCGGUGAAAAUGCGCAGAUAUCAGGAAGAACACCAAUGGCGAAGGCAGCUCGCUGGGACGGUAACUGACGCUGAGACGCGAAAGCGUGGGGAGCAAACAGG